AGCUGGUCCGAGUGCAGUGGUGUUUACAACUAAUUGAUCACAGCCAGUUACAGAUUUGUUACUUCUUCACUCCCACUGCUUCACUUGACUAGCCUAAA
This is a Y RNA of Callithrix jacchus (white-tufted-ear marmoset), 98 nucleotides long. It matches the Rfam family "Y RNA". From Rfam's summary of the family: Y RNAs are components of the Ro ribonucleoprotein particle (Ro RNP), in association with Ro60 and La proteins. The record is from Ensembl. Lineage: Eukaryota; Metazoa; Chordata; Mammalia; Primates; Cebidae.